UUCCCUCGAUCCGCCGUUCCAUUCCCCACUCACCUCGUUCCAGGUCCAGCACACUCCCUAAAAAACUGCGGCGGCCCUGCUAUCUCCGACGAAAACCCUAACCACGCUCGCAGCGCACCGCCCACUACUCCGUCCCCUGAGCGGCGGCCGAUUGGCUGCUUUCCAUGGCCUCGACGGCGGCGCCGGUCGCCGAACACCGGACUCAGUUGUUGCUCACAGACCUCGGCGACGAGCUCCUGGAGGAGGUUUUCCUCCGCCUGCCCACCCCGGCGGAGCUCGCGCGCGCCUGCACCGCCCGCGCCUCCUUCCGCCGCAUCAUCACCGAGCGCUCCUUCCUUCGCAGCUACCGCAAACGCCACCCGCCGCCGCUCCUGGGGUUCGUGGGUGAGGAAGGCGGCUUCCACCCCGCCUAGGCGCCCCACCCCUCCGCCCCGCUCGCCCGUGCCCUCGCCGACGCUGCCGAUUUCACCUACUCCUUCGUCCCCCAACACGGCGAGGGGCACGUGUGGGUCCCGUGCGAUGCCCGGGAUGGCCGUGUCCUUCUCGAAGACGGACAAAUUUGGGAGGCCUUCAGACACCUUGCCGUCUGCGAUCCAUUGUUUCGUGGCUACGCGCUGCUUCCACCCGUUCCCGGGAACCUGGCACUCCAGGAGAAAGGCCGCCCUGUAACCAAUUCACUCAUGCCCAUUGCCGAGGAUGAGGAUGAGACAUUGUUCAAGGUGAUAUGCUUGGCUAACUACGAAACCAAGCUGGUUGCAUUUCUAUUCUCUUCCGUCACAGGAGAAUGGUGCAUAGCCGCAACUGUCAGCUGGAGCUCUUUGGGCAGCCAGCCACAGAUAUGGCGAAACUUCAGAGGUUGCGAUUACCGUGGCGUGUCCUGUUUUGACUGUGCGCGCGGCUCCUACUACUCAACAUCGACUUUUAACGACAAGCUGCUUGUGUUGGACACAAGGAAAAUGGAGUUUUGCAUUGUCGAUGAUCGUACUGGCUACCAUAUGAACCUCAGAUGUCUGCCUGGCCAGCACGAGGACGUUGUCGACAUCUAUGUGCCAUCCCGAUUCCGGCCUGGCCAGAGUAGAAGUCUGCCUCGCAUUGUUGUGGGUAGAGAAGGAGCCCUUGAGAUGUUUUCUCUCGUUGGUGAUCACACUCCAAAUGGCUCUUUUGAUCUCUAUCAUACCACUCAGCAAAAUAAUGGCCAGUCUUCCAAGGAAUGUCAGCUGGAGAAUAUUAUACCGUUGCCCGGCAAGUAUGACUAUUUCACUGUGGGUGCAGCUGAGGGAUUCUUAUUCCUUGGAGCCACUACAGAAGAUCAGCUGGACUUUGUUGAAAGCGUCCCUAUGAGCUUGUUGACGACUGAGUGGAAUGUAGAUUAUUUUGCAUUGGAUGUCAAGACUUCUGAACUUACUAAGGUUUGUAGGAGCAGGAGGCAAUUCUUCCAUAAAGAAGAUGUUCACUGCUACUUUGGCUUCCCCCUGUCGUUGUCAAAACCGAGUAUAUGAUGAAGUGGGAUCAACUCGCUUUGUUUCAGGGGUUCUUGUACUUGGGCCAUGUAUCUGAUGCCUUUGAUGAAAUGGAGGAUGGACAUGAUGGUGCUGAGAAAUAUGCUCACUAGAUAUAGCACUCAAGCCUUGGUAUUAUUCAUUAAGAAUUAGCCAUCAUGUACUUUCUAUGGUUGUAUUAGGCUUUUUUAAGCAAAGACAUGUUGUAAACAAGCUGAAUUUGUUGAACUCUAUCUCCAAUGAGAGUUGUACUGUACUUUUGUGUUGGAAGCAUGACAUUGUCUGUUUAUCCUUGUUCAGUCAUUAACCUGGUCAUGUUUGCAGCCA
Triticum aestivum (bread wheat) is the source of this 1826-nucleotide long non-coding RNA. RefSeq lists it as uncharacterized. The record is from RefSeq and is a predicted model, not a curated record. Lineage: Eukaryota; Viridiplantae; Streptophyta; Magnoliopsida; Poales; Poaceae. The transcript has 2 exons.